RNAcentral lists this transfer RNA (82 nucleotides) under Aspergillus nomiae NRRL 13137. RNAcentral describes it as "Aspergillus nomius NRRL 13137 tRNA". It matches the Rfam family "tRNA". From Rfam's summary of the family: Transfer RNA (tRNA) molecules are approximately 80 nucleotides in length. Their secondary structure includes four short double-helical elements and three loops (D, anti-codon, and T loops). Further hydrogen bonds mediate the characteristic L-shaped molecular structure. tRNAs have two regions of fundamental functional importance: the anti-codon, which is responsible for specific mRNA codon recognition, and the 3' end, to which the tRNAs corresponding amino acid is attached (by aminoacyl-tRNA synthetases). tRNAs cope with the degeneracy of the genetic code in two manners: having more than one tRNA (with a specific anti-codon) for a particular amino acid; and 'wobble' base-pairing, i.e. permitting non-standard base-pairing at the 3rd anti-codon position. The record is from Rfam by way of RNAcentral. Lineage: Eukaryota; Fungi; Ascomycota; Eurotiomycetes; Eurotiales; Aspergillaceae.
GCCUCUAUAGCUCAGUGGUAGAGCGCUUGACUUGUAGCUUGACGACAUCAAGAGGUCCGUGGUUCAAUCCCGCGUGGAGGCA